This 1371-nucleotide ribosomal RNA is filed under the name uncultured bacterium. RNAcentral describes it as "bacterial SSU rRNA". It matches the Rfam family "Bacterial small subunit ribosomal RNA", at positions 28 to 1381 of the family's 1533-position model. The record is from RNAcentral.
GAUGAACGCUGGCGGCGUGCCUAAUACAUGCAAGUCGAGCGAACGGACGAGAAGCUUGCUUCUCUGAUGUUAGCGGCGGACGGGUGAGUAACACGUGGAUAACCUACCUAUAAGACUGGGAUAACUUCGGGAAACCGGAGCUAAUACCGGAUAAUAUUUUGAACCGCAUGGUUCAAAAGUGAAAGACGGUCUUGCUGUCACUUAUAGAUGGAUCCGCGCUGCAUUAGCUAGUUGGUAAGGUAACGGCUUACCAAGGCAACGAUGCAUAGCCGACCUGAGAGGGUGAUCGGCCACACUGGAACUGAGACACGGUCCAGACUCCUACGGGAGGCAGCAGUAGGGAAUCUUCCGCAAUGGGCGAAAGCCUGACGGUGCAACGCCGCGUGAGUGAUGAAGGUCUUCGGAUCGUAAAACUCUGUUAUUAGGGAAGAACAUAUGUGUAAGUAACUGUGCACAUCUUGACGGUACCUAAUCAGAAAGCCACGGCUAACUACGUGCCAGCAGCCGCGGUAAUACGUAGGUGGCAAGCGUUAUCCGGAAUUAUUGGGCGUAAAGCGCGCGUAGGCGGUUUUUUAAGUCUGAUGUGAAAGCCCACGGCUCAACCGUGGAGGGUCAUUGGAAACUGGAAAACUUGAGUGCAGAAGAGGAAAGUGGAAUUCCAUGUGUAGCGGUGAAAUGCGCAGAGAUAUGGAGGAAUACCAGUGGCGAAGGCGACUUUCUGGUCUGUAACUGACGCUGAUGUGCGAAAGCGUGGGGAUCAAACAGGAUUAGAUACCCUGGUAGUCCACGCCGUAAACGAUGAGUGCUAAGUGUUAGGGGGUUUCCGCCCCUUAGUGCUGCAGCUAACGCAUUAAGCACUCCGCCUGGGGAGUACGACCGCAAGGUUGAAACUCAAAGGAAUUGACGGGGACCCGCACAAGCGGUGGAGCAUGUGGUUUAAUUCGAAGCAACGCGAAGAACCUUACCAAAUCUUGACAUCCUUUGACAACUCUAGAGAUAGAGCUUUCCCCUUCGGGGACAAAGUGACAGGUGGUGCAUGGUUGUCGUCAGCUCGUGUCGUGAGAUGUUGGGUUAAGUCCCGCAACGAGCGCAACCCUUAAGCUUAGUUGCCAUCAUUAAGUUGGGCACUCUAAGUUGACUGCCGGUGACAAACCGGAGGAAGGUGGGGAUGACGUCAAAUCAUCAUGCCCCUUAUGAUUUGGGCUACACACGUGCUACAAUGGACAAUACAAAGGGCAGCGAAACCGCGAGGUCAAGCAAAUCCCAUAAAGUUGUUCUCAGUUCGGAUUGUAGUCUGCAACUCGACUACAUGAAGCUGGAAUCGCUAGUAAUCGUAGAUCAGCAUGCUACGGUGAAUACGUUCCCGGGUCU